RNAcentral lists this ribosomal RNA (403 nucleotides) under uncultured bacterium. Its description in RNAcentral is "partial 16S ribosomal RNA". It matches the Rfam family "Bacterial small subunit ribosomal RNA", at positions 30 to 526 of the family's 1533-position model. The record is from RNAcentral.
AUUGAACGCUGGCGGCAGGCCUAACACAUGCAAGUCGAGCGAGCGGCGGACGGGUGAGUAAUGUAUGGGGACUGCCCGAUCGCGGGGGAUAACUACUGGAAACGGUAGCUAAUAACGCAUAAUAUCGGAUAACACAUAGGGGAUUGGCUAGUAGGUGGGGUAAUGGCGCACCACGGCGACGAUCCCUAGCUGGUCUGAGAGGAUGAUCAGCAACACGGGGACUGAGACACGGCCCAGACUCCUACGGAGGCAGCAGUGGGGAAUAUUGCACAAUGGGCGCAAGCCUGAUGCAGCCAUGCCGCGUGUAUGAAGAAGGCCCUAGGGUUGUAAAGUACUUUCAGUCGGGAGGCGUUACCGACAGAAGAAGCACCGGCUAACUCCGUGCCAGCAGCCGCGGUAAUUC